UCCGUAGGCGGUGUGGUAAGUCGAUAGUGAAAUCUCUGGGCUUAACCCAGAGGCUGCUAACGAAACUGCCAUGCUAGAGUGUGAGAGAGGCGAGUGGAAUUACGGGUGUAGCGGUGAAAUGCGUAGAUAUCCGUAGGAACAUCCGAGGCGAGGGCGGCUCGCUGGAUCACAACUGACGCUGAGGGACGAAAGCUAGGGGAGCAAACAGGAUUAGAUACCCUGGUAGUCCUAGCCCUAAACCAUCAGGACUUGGGGUUUGCCCUGUACGGGGCAAGUCCCGUAGCUAACGCGUUAAGUCCUGCGCCUGGGGAGUACGGUCGCAAGGCUGAA
Molecule: ribosomal RNA, 330 nt
Filed under: uncultured bacterium
Lineage: Bacteria
Description: bacterial SSU rRNA
Rfam family: Bacterial small subunit ribosomal RNA
Source: RNAcentral